RNAcentral lists this ribosomal RNA (433 nucleotides) under uncultured bacterium. RNAcentral describes it as "partial 16S ribosomal RNA". It matches the Rfam family "Bacterial small subunit ribosomal RNA", at positions 29 to 507 of the family's 1533-position model. The record is from RNAcentral.
AACGAACGCUGGCGGCAUGCCUAACACAUGCAAGUCGAACGAGACCUUCGGGUCUAGUGGCGCACGGGUGCGUGACGCGUGGGAACCUGCCCUUGGGUUCGGAAUAACUCCCCGAAGGGGGUGCUAAUACCAGAGAAUGUCUUCGGACAAAAGAUUUAUCGCCUUUGGAUGGGGCCGCGUUGGAUUAGCUGGUUGGUAGGGUAAAAGCCUGCCAAGGCGAUGAUGCAUAGCUGGUCUGAGAGGAUGAUCAGCCACACUGGGACUGAGACACGGCCCAGACUCCUACGGGAAGCUGCAGUGGGGUAUAUUGGACAAUGGGCGAAAGCCUGAUCCAGCAAUGCCGCGGGAGUGAUGAAGGCCUUAGGGUUGUAAAGCUCUUUGACCCGGGAUGAUAAUGACAGUACCGGGAGAAUAAGCACCGGCUAACUACGUG